AGGCUCAGAAGGAGGAAGAGCAGCGUCAGGGCCCUGCCCCUCCUACCAUCUCCCUGGGGGCCAGAUGGAGGAUUGACAGCUCCCUGUGUUGUCUCCUUUUGAGUAACAAGAGAGGACCAGCAUGGCCCCAGAGAUUCUACUGUCGCUAAUGCUACUGCUGCUGCUGCUGUCACUAGGAAACUCAGGGAGGACUUGGGCUUAGCUCCAGUACCAGGAGAGGAGACCGAGGUCUCCAGGCUAUGGGGCACCAGAGCAGGCUGAAGAAGAGCACAGACUCCUGGAAGGGGAGACGUUCAGUGUGAACUGCUCCUACAAGUCCCAGGAAGAUAAACAUAGAUGGAUGUCUUGGUGUAAAAAGCAAGAGAAUGGAGAGUACUGUGUUGUACCACCCUUAGAAAAAAGCCCCAAGGUUUCCCUGUCAGACAAUGAAUACUUCUCCUCUUCAUGACAAUAGUAGCAUCAUCACUAUCACUAUCACAAAGUUGAGGCUCACAGUAAAGGAUUCAGGUGUCUGUGAGUGUGUGAUCCUUGAAGAAUCUCCUAAGACAGUCCCUGAAGAAUUUCCUAAGAGUGAAAAAGCCAUCCUCAGGAGAUUUCACCUGGUGGUGUCCUCAGUUGAAACACAGAGCCCCACGAAAGGGAUACAAACUACUACGGAGGUCAUUUCCAACAAUCCGGCCACCAACAACAGGUACCUCUACUUUCCAAAAUCUUCCUUUUCUGUCCCAGAAGUCAAUGCAUUGUACAUAACUUCUCCAAACCCUAGUAUGCACUGGCCUGUUCCAAGAUUCACUGACUUUUCCCAUAGGGAGCCCAGGGCUGCAGCAGGCUUAGCACAAAUUCACUUAAUGUUUUUCCUCUCAAAUUUAAGCUUAUCAUGGCUUAAGAUCUGA
Molecule: long non-coding RNA, 893 nt
Filed under: Phascolarctos cinereus (koala)
Lineage: Eukaryota; Metazoa; Chordata; Mammalia; Diprotodontia; Phascolarctidae
Description: lncRNA (ENSPCIG00000032481.1)
Source: RNAcentral